This is a long non-coding RNA of Oxyura jamaicensis (ruddy duck), 12822 nucleotides long. RefSeq lists it as uncharacterized. The record is from RefSeq and is a predicted model, not a curated record. The transcript is spliced from 2 exons. Lineage: Eukaryota; Metazoa; Chordata; Aves; Anseriformes; Anatidae.
AGAAUCUACACAUGCUGAAAUAAAGGGGAGGUGGGGGUAUAAUCAGAGCACUGCAUCCCAUGUGGUGUCCAAUUGCACUAGUAUCAGAGGUUCGUACACUGGAAGAAAUAGUGUCAACACUGAAAAUGGUCUAAGCAAUACUGCUUUGAGUUUUGCUAACAUAGCGUGUUAAUUUAAGAGGGCUUACAGUAAGUACAAAUAUUGGCUAAUUACGUCUUAUUAAGCAGAAAAUAGGCGGAGGCUUUCCAGAGAUCAAAAUGGAGUAUACUGCUUCAUAUAGUGGAAAUAUAUGGGGAAAUAGAUGGAAAUGUGUCUGUGAAGUUAAGUUCACUGAUUUAUCUACCUCUCAGUCAGCCUUACUCUUUCCCUCUACCCUCCUCCCAUUUUGCUUUUGUUUCCAGCAUAAGUCCCCAGAUGGAGACUUUUUUGAGGGCUGGGGAGGGGCAGAUAUGACAAAUUGCUUAAUUAAAAAAAUAAAAAAUAAAUCUAAAGAGGUCUGAUUCUCUUGCAAGAUAAUCCUUGUCUGAAAAGAAUUUUCAACAAAAGUGCAUUGUACCCACAGAGGUAAAUCUUUUGGUUUUCCUUGUGCUAGAUAAAGAUAAUUAGUCACUGGCCUGAAACUUGAUAGUAGACUGCCUGUAGCAGCAUGAUGUUCAGUAGGGGCAAAUGGAAGACACUGCUGACAAGUUGAACAUAUUUUCAAAAAAAAACUUUGUGGAACUGAGAGAAAGAAAAAAAAAAAAAGUAGGUAGAAGAAUGAUUAUUAACUUAGAUUAUAAUUCUUAUUACUUAGAAACUUAGAAAAUUACUGAGAAACAAAUGUAUUUGAUAGUUAUUUAAAGCUGAUUUAUUAAUUGGUACAACUGAAGAGAGAAAGAGCAGUUGAGUUAAAAAGAAGUAAACCAGAACCAAAAGUGGAUCUGAAGUCACCCCCAAAGUUGCAACAGUCACCCUCAUUCAAGUUUUCUGUAUUAGGUGAAAUUCAGAGCACAUCACAAAAGAGCCUGAAUUCCCUACUGAAGGAGAUAGAUUCUUCUAGAGAAUGGCUCAGAUGCCAGACAUUAGACUGUAUUUUAGUGUCUCUCAGAAAAUUGCUUCCAGUCAUCAAGAGCAAUAUUCAAGUGAAAUUAGCUGUGCACCAAUAAGAGAAAGAAAAAAGUAGGGAGCUUUAAUAACAGGGAACCUAUGUAAAAAGCAGCAGGAGGUGGAUAAGAAGGGGGCAGCUUGAUUUAUGUCAUAAGCAAUAAUAUGACUACUUUGACACAAUGCUUAAAGGAGUACUAGAAAAGGAAAUAGAUGCAUGACAGAUGAAGAUGAUAAGAUGAUCAACAGUCACAUAGAAAAGAUAGACUUACUCUGCUUUUAUUUGUAUUUGGAAGGCAGAAGCUGAUGUGCAUAUAUGCCUUCUUUCCACUCACAACAACAACAUAAAAAGAAUACAUUAGAACACUCUGACUUGGAAUGAGUAUUUUGAAAAUCAGCAGGCUUAGAUAACUUGUAGUCAAGAGACCUACAGAGAUGGUAGAGAAGAUCCUGGCCUAGAAAUACUCAUUUUCAGUGAGUCUUGAAACACUGGAAGGACCCAGGAACAAUGCACAGCGUUCAGCGAACGUCCCAGUGGGUCACAAGGACGCUUGACAGCACUGCAGCUUAGUUUGCCUGACAAGGGAUCCUAGGCCAAAAAAUGGGAAAACAAGCAGAAGAAUGAGUUGUUAAUGAAAUUAGAUGGAAACACAGUCACUAGAAGUCUGCACUGUUUUACAGCAUAGCAUUCUUGUAAGACUAAUGAUAUACAAUGUCUGUGUAGUUCCUUCCAAAGGGAUUAACACAGGGCUUGAAGCCACAACAAAGAGCUCAUUAGAUGGUUCCCUUCAGAUGGCCAUCCACAUGCAGCAGGCUGUUCAGUGUUGCUUAGGUAUGACCAGACUGAGCCAACAAGAUGGCAUUUGGACCACAGUGUCUCCGUCAUCAGAUGUGGGUCACAGGUAAGACUGAGGGAGCAGUGAUCUUGCCACAUUGGCAAGGAACUGCUCAGGUUAGAAAUGUGUGACUGAUCUAUGCUGUAGAAAGAGGUGAAAACCUCACAAAGGUCUUUGACAAUUUGACCUUAUGAAGCUCAGACAGAUGACCAGUGUGAAUUUGAGCACUGUGAGCAAGAGACACCAGCAAAGCACUGAAGGGAGUAGGACCUCAUUAUCAACUGUAAAUCAGGUCAGCUUCUGACAGGGACAGAAAAAAAAAAAUAAUAAUAAUAAGAUUGUAAAAACAGUUUACUACCCCAAUCCAGUUUGAGCAGGGAUGUGAUUUUAUCCCUGUGUACAGUACUAGGGAGAUUGUUUCAAUGGCCACAGUUUUAGAAGGUUGUUGAAAUACCAGAGUGGGUGCAGAAAACAGCCACAAAAAAUUAUGCAAGGUCUAGAGAAAAAUGCCAUAGCAGAGAUUUGGAGAAGUCAGUUGGUUGAGUGUAAUAAAAAGUUGUAAAAAAUGAGUAGUGACUCGCUUACAGAGGAUGUCUCCCUCCUGAGGGAAAUUAUCAUGAACUAAAAAGCUCUUAAUCUAGCAGAGAAAUGUGCAACAAAAGCCAACAGCUGAAAGCGGAAGCCUGAAAAAUUCAAAUAAGAAAAUAAUCAGAAAUGUUUAACAGUGAGAGUAAGCAUUAAAACAAAUUGUCAAAGAAAGUGGUGGAUUCUUCAUGUCAAGUUAUCAUCACAUCAGAGCUCCAGGCCUUUCUAAAUGACAAGCUUCUGUUAGAAAAGCCAUUGGUCUCCUUAUGAGAAUAACUGUCCAAAACCUAAUAGCCUAUUCUAAGGACUGAAACUUAACUGGGUUCAGGAGCCUCAAACCAGAGGAGUUGCUGGUCUCUCUGGCCCUCGUACUGUGGUUCUAGGAGACUCAUAUGGGUUAGUUUAAUUUUUUUUUUCUUAUCUACCAGCCUUAUUUGUCAUCUCUUUCAUAAUCAUCCACUUCCUGCAGCUAUCACCUGCUGGGACUCUGCAGUAGGCGAAGAACUUUUUCUGCAUGUCUGGAGAUGCAAAUCCUCUGCUCGGUGAAUCUCUCCAGAAAUGUACCCUGCAAUAGCAGGGGCUUUUCUUUUCUCAUACAUUUCAAUUUUUCCUGGAAAAAGGACAGUUUCUCUCUUACUGUCUGUCUCUCUUUCUCUCUCUUUUUUUCUCUUUCUCUCUUUCUCUCUCCAUCUCCAGCCACAAUUGCCAAGUCUCCUGGAAAAUAUUUUCUAGCUUCUGGAAUGGAUUAUUAUCCCUGCUUGGUGCAGAUCUUCUGUACUCUAUUUCUCUGGGUGGUUUUCAGAGCCUCUUGGGGCCCACUAUUUCCCAUGGUCUGGCAAAAUCCCUGACCACCACUUGGGACCUUGGUAUGUUUAUUUUAACAUUUAUAGUGCAAAAGGAAAACCCAGAACCAAUCGAUGCCAACCAUUGGUACAGAACAGAAAAUUAAUAUAGACCAAACACAUUUCUAUCCUCUAAAGAAAGAUGUAGAAUAAAGGCCCCACCCUGUGUCAAAUUAAAUAAAGGCCAAAGUUAAAAGUUCUGACUUACGACACAUUCUACAACUGUCCAAACUACAUGGUAAGAAGCAAUAAAUACUAGAGCCAAGGGCUUAAGGGGACGAGUCCUCCUGCCUCGUCCCAGUAGCUCAGGCCCAGAGAUAGACAGCAGGAGCACUCUGGUUUGUUUCAACUAUUGUAAAAAUUUAACAGCCCAAGGGCAGAUCCCAGCUCCUGUUGGAGAGAGCAGGGUUUAGAAGGGACUCAGCUCUAGGAAAGCUGGUGUCGUAAAAAGGCACACAUGACACGGGCCCCAAAGGAACGCUUGUUCUCACCUAGGCGCCUGCUCUUCUGGCACUCCUGUUUUCUUAUUUCCCUACUGCUUCUUGCUGGAGGUGGAUCGUGGGACUGACUUACUGCAUAUUCUUCAUUUUGGUCUUUGCAUCUCUCUCUCUCCCCAGUUUGGGGGAUUUCUCUGCUCUACUAAAAAGAAGGGAGGCAAAGGAGUUCAGUAUCACCAAGACAACUGGGAAAAGCUGCCUUAGACUUCAUUGUAGUGUACAUACCUAGGUUGAAAACAGCUAUCUGUCUCCAUUUGCUUUCCAAGGUCCCUGGCAUUGCUGCUCAUCCCAGAAGGGUUCCUGGGUUGCCAGCACUUAGUUCCAUGGCUCAGACAGUGCCAAAACCAUUGUUUUUUGUGCUGGAGUUAUGUGAUUUCUGUGCCAGAAUCGUGAGUAAACCAUGAAAAAAAUACUAACAUUUUUGUGUAAAUUUAUGUAACUUUUUCCAUGAAGACCCUAUAAAAUGGCAGAAGUCUUUCUUUGUCAUUAACCAUAUGGAAGUGUAUGGCAUAUGUGUGUCUUCUUAAAGGAGCAAGAGUUUGUCCAGAACACGCAUGUUUGCAGACCAGCGAUGUUCUGAAGUACAACACGUAUACAACUCCCACCAAAAGGCCUCUGCAAAGGCCCAGCUAGAGAGAUGAACAUGAAAUUGGUUUUCCAGGCAAACUCCAGUCUACAAGCACAGCUGCGGCUGCUUCCGAGCAGUCACAAAGCAUGGCUACAAUGCCAAUUAGGCUGGGGGCCAAGGACCACAAAAAGACCCAGCAGCCCUUCAGUCCCAACGUGGCACCACUUUUAACCAUGAGUGGAAGGGCUUUCUGUCCUGGAGCAAGAGGUCUGCUGGAUGGGAGAGCUGUAGUCGUCGCCAGCCAUGCGCUCAUGCUCUGGGGCCUGCUGGCUUCACCACUGCCUCUCACCGGGGGCCCCAGCAGUGCUCCCUCUGCUCUCCUACCAGGAAACACUAUUGUACAUGAGAACCCAAACACUUUAUAAAGUGCCUUCAGCCUUAGCAUGCCGAUCAACACUUUGUAAAACACACGGGGAUGGAAACACACGUGCCAAGCCCUUCGAGCAGUGAGACUGAUUAGCGGUUAAAGGUUUGUCCUGAGGAGGAAAUGCUUGCCUUCAUGAAAUGGCGGGCUGCUGUCACUUGUGUUUGAGCAGCCUGUCAUUGCUCAGGAGCCCAGACACAUCCCCUGAAAUCUUCGUGGAUCACCGUGUGUUUCUGAGGUUGGUGGGUGGACACAGCCUAUUGCAGAGCCCAGCAAUACAGAUGCUCAACAAUUAAGCUGUUAGUGGACUCCUACACACUUGUAAGGUACACAAGGCCCAUGCAGUGCCUGCCAAGUUCCUCAAGUAGUAACAGUUCAUGACACUCUUGAGAUAUCUGCCAGAUGCCGACACAGUGUUCUGAAGUUCCUAUUUCAGGACAUAAUUUCAAAAAUACUUCUAGCUCAGGAUUUAGAGUGCCAAAAAACAUUUGUGUAUGAAUUGUAAUGUAAACCAUAAACCCAACAGGAAACAUCAGAGCCUUCUCCUUUUGUAGAUAUGAUGUGACUAAGGAGUGUUAGGAAAAUGUUCCUUUAUUGGCAAGAAAACAAAUACAUUUUACUGUCCCAUAUGUGCAAAAUGAAACAACCAAUUAACAUAUAUCUGGCAAGGAAAAUGUAUUUUUACCUUCCAGCAUUGCCCAUACAUCCCAAAUUGUAUAUUGAUUGCAACAUUUAUGAGCAUUGCACAGGGGGCAGAUGGUGAACACUCUGCUAAGCACUGAGUUUGGCUGACAAGGAGGCACUGCAGUUUUAGUAACUGAAUCAGCAAUUUGCUCAGCCUGAAUUUGCUCAUGUUUCUUGAGCUCAUGCUGGGAAUGCUCAGUGGCCUAGCAAACGCUUUAACCUAGCUGCUUUCGUAUCAUCAGCUGGCUGGCAUAGUCACUCUCGUAGUACUAGUAUAAUUCUUAUCCUUUCAGUAGAUGCCAGAAUUAAUUGCAAUGAAAAAGCAAUCCCAAGAAGACACACUUGUCUGCUUUGCCUAAUAUAAGAUAUAUCUUUGCAGGUUUAUGUUCAAUAAAAAAUAAUUGUGUAUGUUUAUUUUGAAAUAUUUUUGGCACAUUGGAACUUUGAACGUGACUUUAUUUUUUUUCUUAACUAAGAUUCAGUUGAGGAAGUCUUAAGGCUAUCAAGAUGCUAGCCCUGUCCUUCCCAGUAUAUUUUUAAAGGGUAAAUACAUAACAACAACAAUAGGGUGAACAGAAUGCAGUUCCAACCCUUGCAGCAAGCCAUCCUCAAUUCUUGUUCUUACCCUAGCCUCUAGAGCAGAAUAAAGCACACUAUGUUUUUUCUGGGAUAUUGUCCGCUGGCUUGUUGUAACCGCUGCGCAGACUCAACUAUCCACCACUUUGACACACACACACACAUCAUCUCACACCCCCACCCUUCCUACCAAGUUAGUGAAAUUAUCUUUAAGAGGCUGGUGUUCUCUCAAACAUAGUUGAAACCAACUAACAGGGAAACAGGCUAACAGAUGGGCUUUGUGUAAGCCCUUGUUCCUCUGAGCUCUUGCACUGUUAAGUGAAAUUAAAGUGCUCAGGGAGUGGAGUUAUUAUACCUCCUUAACUGUUUUGUUCAAAUGAAUCCAGCAAUACUUGUAAUAGUAUAUUGAAUGUAUUUUAAAACAUUUUGAAGCAAUAGUUUUACAACAGUACAUUGUGAAGCCAAAAAUGAUGAAGUAUCUUCCUGAAAUACCCUACUGUUCUCAGACCUGCUGCACAAGAUCAGCUUUUUACAUUGUGUUAUGCUAACAAGGAGCUUCUAAACAGCCAUUGCACUGCACGGGUAUGUGGGGAACUGUUCUUCAGUAAUUUACAACAGAGGGAAUUUUGCAAUUCUGGAAAAGAGACUAGUAAGUGUAGUUAAAGUGCUCUUUUUUCCCUUUCUCUCUCCACUGUCUCCACACCAGCCUGUUGUGUAACCAGAGAGUUUUCUGAGACCUCUGUUAGCAAGCAGAGUCUAGUGUGCAGGCACCAAUCACCGAUCUUAAUAUUAUGGGAGCUUAGAGGCCUGUGAGUGCAGAACAAAUUGGUUUUAAAAGCAAUAGCAAUUGCUAAAAGGAUUGUAUUACAAUAAUAGACUUGAAAGCUUAUACUCCAAGCAAUGCUGCGGAUGAGAGCCAGCGAUAGAGACAAAGUACUUUGCGAGCUGCUAGGAGCAGAGCAGGUCCUGAUUAUUGCACUGACAGAGGUGGGUUGUGGGGCAGCUGACUCCCCAUUGAAGUCAGGUCUUUCAAGCCACCCAUGACUACUGUGGGACUCAGAAAGGGCACAGGAGCAGCACUAUUGAUCACAGGCUGGAUGAGGGAAGGAGGAGAGUCUGUAUUUGCAUAUUCAAAGUGUUCUGUGCUGACUAACCUGGAUGCUGUUGUGAUAAAUAAAGCAAAUGAAAAAAUGAAGAAGGGAGCCCCAGGUAAUGAGAACUCUAAAGAGAGCUGCAUCACCUUGACAGAAGGCACCAAAAGCUAUUCAAACAAGAGUCAAGUGGCUGGAUAACUUUGAAGAUCUCAACCACAGUCUGAAGAGACAGAAAGGGAGCUGGCAGCCUACUAAGCUGCUGCUUGACAGACCACUUUUCAUCCAUUUUGAGAGGAAGCCUCAAAGGCUGAACUCAGUAUUUUUCAGGAUGCUCAUGCUGUUGGGAAUUUCUUCUGCUUUUAUUUACCACAUCAUAAUAUUUAAAUUCUGAUUUAGAUGUGGUUUAUGCAUUGGAAGUAACUUGAAAUGCUAGAGGUUCCUUUGCCUGGCUGCCUAAACACAGCAACACCUUGUUUGGCAGACUGAAGGAAGGAUUAAAAGUGUUUUGGCUGUAAGUCCCGACCAGGGUCAAAUCAAGACCUUGAUUUCCUUUAACACAAACUCCUCAUUAGGACCACACUUUAGCAGCAAUGGUUUAUGCCUCUAAAACAGAAGAGUUAUUAUUAGCAAAAGCCAAAACCUAUUCAGUCAGUCAGAUUUGGUUUGGGGAUGUUAUGGAUGGCAUGUAAAAUGAAGUACUAAUGACUGACAAAAUAGCACAGUAAUGAAAUUCUAUUCACAAAUUCAUGCUCACUAGUUUCCAAAUUAUUGUCAAUGGCAACUUCUUUCUGGACAUCAAUGGGCAGGAACGGAGAGGCAGAAAAACAUCAUGAAUCACUAAAUUAAAUGCUAGUGUGUGAACACAAGCAUACAUGCAUGCACAUACAUAUAUGUGCAUAUUAUUUUUACAAGUGAGAUAACUCCCUGUCUGUUCUAAGUGUUGCUUUUCUGCUGCUCCAUCUGUACAAAGGGUUCCUAAGGCUGAAGACAAAGUGAGGCGCAAGGGAGCAUAUCGCUCAAGAGAGGCGUACAAAUCAUGAAGACACAUACAGUGUGGGCAGUUUGAGCUGGCUCACAGGCAGCAUAAGAUGAGUCUGUCUCGUGGUGGAUGCCACUUUGUGCUCUAUCCCAUGGCUUUAGUAUUUUACAAACAUCCUGCUGGCUCUCAAAUGGUUGUAGCGAUGGUUUUGAAAACGUAAGCCGAAGAUAAGCAACUCAAAGGUGUCUGCUCGUGUCCACAGGCAGGCAGAGCAAGAUCCUCAAAGAUCUGAACUUUUGCCAUUCAUCUUAAUGGUGUGUUAUUACUAAAGUCAUGCAGCAAAAUACAGUUUAGUGUUGUUAACUAUUUUGUUGCUGGAUAAAAUUUGCGAGGGAAAACUAGAGUGACAAAUAAUAGGUAGAUAUACACUACCAUCUCACUGCCAUCUCCUUUGGCCUCACACCAUAGCAACAUUUUUAUCUAAGCUUGUAUUUGCAUUAUAAAGGACAGUCUUGAAAUUAUUUCAUCAUUAAGCUGGUUGAUAUUCUGACUGUUCUGCUGCUUACCUGACAACCUGCCUUUACAUCAAGCUUAACACUACUGUGACCGUGAGAUCAUAAAAUCUACACUCCUGAGGAAAGCAAGGAAGGCAAAUCUCAUGGCAGCAAAGAUCAGCAAGAGUCAUGCAAGUAAGUGAAGAAAAAAGGUUGAUAUGUGCUUUGUACGGUGUUGUUAUUGGUAAUUCUGAAAGUUUUGGGACAGAUUCUGUCAUCUAUUUCACUGGAAGAAGCAAACUUCUCUUCCCCAACUGAACAGAACGUGCAGAUCUUUGAAGGCUGUGAUGGGACUCCAAGCUGACUAGAACUUUGCAGUAGAUCUGCCAAUUUUUUUUCUUCUUAAGUUGGGCACUCCCAAGACUGCAAAAGAGCUUUUAAACUCAAACCCAUUUUAUUGUAACAGAAAUUAGAUCCUGUAGCUUUUUAAACAGAUAAAACUUAGCGUGAGACAAAACAGAAGAAAAAGCAUUUAGAAACUGAAUUCCUUCUUGCCCACUAUGUCCUGGCAGAAAAGGUCCUUUUUUUCAGGCUUCCUCUCAGUUCAGCAGCUCAGGAACUUUCUGUAUUGCAACAAAAACUCCUCUGAGAAGAUCUCUGAGACUCUAGGAAAUAUCUUUUGCCCCAUCACUGAGGCCUGGCUGUGUGUCUGCUCUUCUCAGCAGUUUGCCAGCCUUUGCCUAUGAUGCAGGCAGGCUCUGUGCCUGCUGAGUUCUCCUCAUACUCUCAGUGUGAGAUCUCCCACGUUACUCGGUGAUUCGUUAUUUUAAUGUGAUUGCUCUUUAAUUGGAUUCUUAGGUUAUACAGUAUCUAAAAAAUUCACCUGAAAAAUGAAAGAGGCUGAUAAGAGGGGAGAUAUCUGCUGGGUGAGGGGAGGAGGUGUUAAAAGAUGUAAACUGUCAGAGGAAGUUCAUUUUAAGACGAGCUUGGCACCGAAUGUAUGUGGUGAAAGAACACCAUGAAGAAAAGUCUCUGGCCAAGUCUUUGGGGUUGGUUUCUUUGUUGUUUUUUUUCUUUAGCUUUAGUGCUUAAUCCCAUAUAAAUUGCAUGCGGCAUUACUGGAAGAACUGGCUGGCAGAGAAGAUCGGUAUGGCUGUCAGAAAAGGACAAAAUACUGAAGAUCUGCAGAAGGGGCUAGAGGGCACAAGGUAAGAAAAGCUACAAGAGGUACAAAAGCAUAAAGUAUUGUCAGAAAGAGAAACUUGAAUGAAGAGAGAUGAUCUUGAAUGAUAAGUUUGUUUUGUAGUAACAUUGAAAAUACAGUAAGAAAUUUCAAUCUAUAUUGCACACAGACUCUUCAAGAAAGGUGAUUUUUAUGUAGGAAAUAAAUUUUCUGGACUGUCCACACAGAAAAUGGUGCAGACAUUGUAGUCGCUGCACCCUGGGCCUCAGGCAGCCGUGCAAAGAGAGCCCCAGCCCAACCCACAGUCCUCAGCAGAUGCAGAUCUGUGGCUGUGCAUCUGCCAGAGAAGAUGCCCCACCACCAGGGCUGUGGAGGUGAGACAGAGACCUGGUCACACUUUGGAGACAGUCGGCUGCUGGCAGUUUAUGACAGGGGAUGAUCCGGGUGCAAAGGGGGAGUCCCCAGCACGUUCAUCACAGUAACAGGUUGAAGUCCCAGAGAGGCCAGUGUCACACCACAGCUAUGUGCGUAGGAAGCUCUGAGAGCUGCUCCCUAAUGAGCCCACAGCGUGCCAGUCUUUGGAUUGGCAUGAGCCAACCAUUCGGGUUUUAAUCUCUUCCUCUGCACGCAUAGUGACUAUUCAUGAGAGGAUUACUGUGAAGUGCCCUGAAACUAAAUGGCAUGUUUAGGAUCUCAUGGCUAUGUGAAUAAAAGCUGCAGGCAAGCUUGGAUAGCACAAGCAAUGUUCACAUUUUCCAUAAAGAUCAAAUGCCUUGAAGAUCAAGUACUCAGUGUCAAGCUCUUGCUCCCAUGUACCCAAACUCAAAAUGCAACAUCAGUUUUAAAAGUUCAGUUGCCACUGCCAGUAUGUAAAUGAAAUACCUCGUAUGGGUGUCACCUCUUCAAGAUCACCUUGUUCUUAUAGAUCAGGAAGUCCAGCAGUGGGAGCAGGUAAUCACAUCGGCUGAGACAAGCCAGUAUCUUCUGCAGAUCUGAUUUUUUAAAAUGUUGUAAACAAGCAUGUGCCUGCCUGGAUUUACCCUGUAAGACAAUAUAAUACCCAGCUAUGUAACUGCAGGGUUAUUGCUUGCCAGAAUAAGACUCCUGUAAAGAUGAAGUUUUGCAGGUACUUCAGGCUCACCAUCGUCUCCAGAGCCUAUUUUGCAGUGCUUCACAGUUAAGGUUACACAGAUGCACUCAGCAAAACCAGAUCCCUUCCACUUGGGGUGAGGGGAGCAGAGACACAGCAGCUAACUGCCAGCCUAAAGAGAGAGGAAAGUGAGUCACGGUCAUGAAAUAGGUCACUUCCACUCCGUGUGAACUCGCUUCUCUAGCACUCAGGUUGGUUUCUGUAAUAGGGAACGGUCUGGGUUUGAGCACGCUUCUGGGCUUGCUGCUUCUGCUCCAGAUAAAUGGGAAAAUGUAAGGAAAUAAUUGCUGUUUAAAAAAUGGAUAUUUCCAGCUGAUGAAUAUAUGACUGUGGAUUCUAGUGAAAUUAUUCUAACUUCCACUGAUUGAACAUGUGGUUUAGUUUUGUUUCAUGCAUCUAUGUAGCUUUUUUUUUUAAAAAAAAAAAAAAAAAAAAAAAAAGCUCUAUAGCAGCUGCACUGGCUUCUGCUAAUAUUUGCUUCCCUAACAGAAAAACCUAAGCACUUCAGUAAAAGAUGAAAACCCUUUUCUUUAUUUUUAUUUCAAAUCAUGUCUUUGAAAUGCAAGUUUCUUCUGGAAGAUAGAACACAAGCUUAUCUAUAGCGAGUGGGAGGUUGUGUUGUUAGACCUUCUUUCAGGAAGCCUCUUUGACCCCACACAGGAUAUUUUACAACGUUUGAAGAUUUAGCGAUGAUAGCAAUAUUUUUUCCAGGAAAUUUCUCAAAGAAGAGGGAGGGGUAUCAUUAUGGUCGUUGUUUUGUUGCAGCAGAUAGACCGCCGUCUGGAGACACUGUCCUUGCUGGAAAAUUGAUUAAGGUUCAGUUUGAAAAAUAGGCACUUCCUCUGCUUUCAGUUACCAUAUUAGGUUUUCAAAAAGGGGAAAAAAAAAAAAAAAAAAAAAAAAAAAUAAAGACCUUGUUUCUCAUGUUCCUGUUACUUCCCUAUGUCACAACCACUUACUGAACGUGAAGCAAGCUGCUGCUGCUUUUUUACCCCCCCCCCCCCCCCCCAGGAAACAGUUGCUUUAGGACUGAUUCUGGUAACCUGAUACCUCUUGAUGUAUUUUUGCUGGAAUAUGGAGCCUACAUAAAUUGCACCAUAAGCAAAUUUCUUUAUAAUGGAAGGAUCAGGAAGCUGCAGCUUGGCAGGCCAUUUCAUUGGUGUGGUUUUUUUAAGGUGGAUUUUCCAGUCACUUUUUAACAGAUGAUAUUGCAGACUUUUGCAAAAGGUAUUAGGAAUAUGCAGUUGUCACUGUUUGGACAGAGCGUCCCACCUGUAGACUAAGUGCUAUACAUUCAGAAAAGAUGCUGUCUGCCUGCCAGCUACCAUUCUGCAACUGAAAGAAAAAUUGUUGUUAUUUACUGAAUGUGCCUAUUUAUUACCAGUGUCACAUGAAUCCAAAGACCCAUGCUGAAAGCAACUCCCAUCUUCACACGGUCUCAAGUACAGAAAACAAGUUAGUCCCUUCCUGCAGAUGGGAACUUGGAAAGAAAAGGAAAAAAAAAAAAUAGAAAAAGAUGCAUCUCACUGAAACAUCCUUCCUUUCUGACUGGGACACAGUAGGUGGUACAGGGACUUCUUUGGAUACAGGAUGGGGAGAUGUUGGUGACUCUGCAGUGCAGCAUGGUGCAGGAGGGGGUCCGUCCAGCACUAAUCCCGUAAAGGAGCUGAAACAGAGCUUCAGGCAGGAGCAUUUCUUCUCUCAUCUGUUACGGCUAGAGCGAGAUUAACCAAACCAGCUGGAUCCACUGCAUGCUGAGUGCAGCCCGGGACUCCCCUGCAGUUUGACCCUGCUGUCCUUCCCCAGUAAACCAAGCCUGUACUCCAA